This 758-nucleotide long non-coding RNA is filed under the name Solanum tuberosum (potato). RNAcentral's name for it is "long non-coding RNA (STUB_LNC002947)". The record is from RNAcentral. Lineage: Eukaryota; Viridiplantae; Streptophyta; Magnoliopsida; Solanales; Solanaceae.
UGGACAAAUGCAGGUCAUCCACAAAGUGAACAAUAAAGGACCACAUAGUUUUAGGGGGAUGUCAACUGCAUUUCCUGCUGCUUAUUUUAAUUUUUUUAAAUUCUUCUUAGAAAAAAAUUAAUCUCUAUCUGUACAUUGAUAUAUCUACCAGAUGAGUAAGAUCUGCAAGCAUGUUCUUAGUACAUGAUCAGUGCCUCCAAUAUCCUUUCAAUUCCUUUUAGUUGUCAAAGUUAACUCUGAUGCUCAAAUACUCAGAAGGCCUAUGUUGCUCGGACUCUUCAAAAGUGCCAACGGGUGCAUGUCGGAUUCGCCAAAAGUAGUGUAUUUUUGGAGAAUCCGAGACGGGUGCGGCAUCAAAAGUGAAGAGUCCGCACAACUAAGCAGAAGGCUGCCAGAUAACUUCGUGAUUAAAACCAAAAAACGGCUAACCAGAUUACUAGCCCACUGCCCACUGGUAAUGGGAAUUGAACCUAUACCUGAGCUAUCGCCUAAAGAAUUAAAUGUCUGAUCAUGCCCUGAGUUGAUGACCAUGCAUGCUAUCAAUUCUGAGCUUUAGCUUUAUGAAAAACCCUUCUUUGGUCACAAGUACAGAUACAGUAAUGGUGGGAGAUAAAUUGGCCAAUGUUUGACAUUAAAUGAGUUACAAUCCCGUGAUCUCAAACAAUCUAGUUCUCACGACCCACAGAUCAUAAUUAUAAGCUAAACGUUCAAUUCGUAUAGUUGAUUCUUCUUGACCCUAGUUGAAAUUUACUGCAGCA